GCUAAACGCGAAGAACCUUACCAAGGCUUGACUUCCUGCGAAGGUUUCCGAAAGGAAAUUGUGCCUUUUAGGAGCGCAGUGACAGGUGCUGCAUGGCCGUCGUCAGCUCGUGUCGUGAGAUGUUGGGUUAAGUCCCGCAACGAGCGCAACCCUUGUCCUUAGUUGCCAGCACGUAAUGGUGGGAACUCUAGGGAGACCGCCGAUGACAAAUCGGAGGAAGGUGGGGAUGACGUCAAGUCAUCAUGGCCCUUACGGCCAGGGCUACACACGUACUACAAUGGUCGGUACAGAGGGUUGCCAAGCCGCGAGGUGGAGCUAAUCUCACAAAACCGAUCGUAGUCCGGAUCGCAGUCUGCAACUCGACUGCGUGAAGUCGGAAUCGCUAGUAAUCGCGAAUCAGAAUGUCGCGGUGAAUACGUUCCCGGGUCUUGUACACACCG
This 440-nucleotide ribosomal RNA is filed under the name uncultured bacterium. RNAcentral describes it as "bacterial SSU rRNA". It matches the Rfam family "Bacterial small subunit ribosomal RNA", at positions 954 to 1392 of the family's 1533-position model. The record is from RNAcentral.